Molecule: long non-coding RNA, 398 nt
Filed under: Lathyrus oleraceus (garden pea)
Lineage: Eukaryota; Viridiplantae; Streptophyta; Magnoliopsida; Fabales; Fabaceae
Description: Pisum sativum (pea) long non-coding RNA (PSAT_LNC016175)
Source: RNAcentral
GAUAUCCAGCCGGCUCAGCUGCAGCUGCAGAUGAAGAUGCACCCCGGUCUAACGUGCGGACUGGAAUCCGGCCAUCUGCACCUCGUCUUCGAACCACUGCAAAAAAAAUGUUUAAAAAAAUAAUUAAAAUUUAAAAAAAAAAAAAAAAUUACGUACCGGAACACUUCAAAGAAGAGUUCCGGUUAGUAAAAAACAAAAAAAGCCUUCUGGAACACUUUCUUAAAGAGUUCCAGUAUACAUCAUCCAAACCGGAAGUCUUUAAGAAAGACUUCUGGUAUACAAGUAUACAAACCGGAAGACUUUCUACAAGACUUCCGGUUCAGUGCCCCUUAAAGGCAACAAACCGAAACUCUUUAGAGAAGUGUUCCGGUAUACAAUUAAUGAACCGGAAGACUUAC